This 253-nucleotide ribosomal RNA is filed under the name uncultured bacterium. RNAcentral's name for it is "partial 16S ribosomal RNA". It matches the Rfam family "Bacterial small subunit ribosomal RNA", at positions 524 to 776 of the family's 1533-position model. The record is from RNAcentral.
UACGGAGGGUGCGAGCGUUGUCCGGAAUCAUUGGGCGUAAAGGGCGCGUAGGUGGCCUGGUAAGCGUGCGGUGAAAGCCUGGGGCUCAACCCCGGGUCGGCCGUGCGAACUGCUAGGCUUGAGCACUGUAGAGGCAGGCGGAAUUCCGGGUGUAGCGGUGGAAUGCGUAGAGAUCCGGAAGAACACCAAUGGCGAAAGCAGGUAACUGGACUAUUACUGACACUCAACUGCGAAAGCUAGGGGAGCAAACAGG